Danio aesculapii is the source of this 184-nucleotide long non-coding RNA. RefSeq lists it as uncharacterized. The record is from RefSeq and is a predicted model, not a curated record. The transcript is spliced from 3 exons. Lineage: Eukaryota; Metazoa; Chordata; Actinopteri; Cypriniformes; Danionidae.
UUUGUUUCACACACAGUAAUGGGGAGGAAAGAGAAACUCCUGAUUUGUUUCUUCUUAAUGUCAGUUUAUCUGCUGACACCUGGAAAAUGUGGUCCUGUAAAUGCAGCUGCAGACUGGAGCGAUGGACAAGAUCCAGCAUUUAUGGCAAGGGAUUCCACAAAAGACAAAAGAGCCACAGAGGUAC